GUCUGCCACCACCUUCACAAAAAAGCGUGUGCCAAAAAUCGGAAAACAGGCCGAACUAACCACAUGCAGAAUCACAUUUGCGUCUGCUGGCCGCUAGAGGAGCUCCGUUCAAUCGAUGAAACGAGAGAAAACGGGCCCAAAAAAUCGGUGCUGCUUUAACUGAUUGGCUGAGAAACGAAACAAGGAGAAUUGAAGAAUAGCUGUACACCAAAGAAAAAAGGUUUCGGGUUCUUCCUAAGAACAAGCGACCAGAACCAAUAGAGUGGACAGUACUGUUGCCUGUUGCGGUCAACAUUUCUCUCUUUUUAUUUUAUGGACGUGACCUGGAUCCGCCCAACCGCUCAACAAACCGCUCUAGUUCGUUCCCUUCAUUCACGUAGACCAAUGUGUGCCCACCCGUUGCUAUUUGCGCCAUUCGUUGCGUCGUGUUGUCCCGAACGGCGACUCAGUGACUGACCACCCUCGGAAUAUUACUCAAAACAUAAAUUACCCUCCAUCUCUCCCGCUGAUUCAGGCUCUAUAAGGUUUUACACCUGAAUCUCAAUCACCCCCCUCCAAAAAAAAAACAUGUCGAUCCCCGUUAUACAAUAAUAUACGUGGUGUGUUCGUGAUAGACGGUCAUCAAGGUAGUGAUGUCCCGACGGCGAUUUUUUAGUCCAGUCCGACCAUAUCACGGAAGAGUUGAAAAGAGAUUCUUCUUCUUGUAGAAAAACCAUCAAGUUGGGCACGCCAUGUUAGCCCUAGAGCAUUAGAGCUCUACGUAUGGCUAGGUCACACAACGACAGAGGGAAUUUGAAAGGAAGACCACGGUGAUGGCGCCAAGAUGCUGACCCCAGAAGAUUUUCAUCUUGCAGCUUUCACAAUCGCAAAAAUACACACACACGUGUAUAUAUAUAUAACAUGACAAAAGCAUUUUCCUUCAGUGCACAUAGAGCUUUUCGUGUUUUGAAGAAAUGACAUUGCUAAGCAAAUGAUUAUGCAUCCAUUUGGUCGACUAUGCAAAUCUAUUUCCCUUUGCUGGCGCAUUUUCGCUUUAUGUAGUCCCUGUACAAUAUUUUGAAUUGUACAGACCCUGCACGAAUAAUUAGCGUUCAUUUUAUUAUUACAAAAAAAAAACCAAAAAAAAAUUAGAGUGGAAAUUAGUGUCUGUUGCUUUUUGGGUGGCGAGGUCGAAUGUUUAAAUUUAAUUUUUCCAAAAUAUUUUUAUAGAGGCAAAGGCUAGGUAGAGAUUUGAACGAGCGUGCGUGAAGCUAGACUUAGUCUUGCAGAGCCCUCAAGUGACGGAGGGGAGGAAACAAUAGAAAGACGGGGGUCUCUCAUCAUCUCCAUUUGAAGCGGGUGAACGGAGAUGAAGAAGGUUGAAGGAAAUAACGGGACUAUUGAAGCUGUACAGAAGAGAAUUACAGCCAAAG
This 1412-nucleotide long non-coding RNA is filed under the name Daphnia magna. RNAcentral describes it as "uncharacterized LOC116922679, transcript variant X2". The record is from RNAcentral. Lineage: Eukaryota; Metazoa; Arthropoda; Branchiopoda; Diplostraca; Daphniidae.